AGCCAGGAUUCAGAUUCUCUAAUUAACACCAAAGCCUAAGUCUUGAAUGUACAACUUUUCUUUUUUUGCACAAACUUCAGUGAUGAAAUUGCUUCCAAGACUUCUAAGUUUUAAAAUGGUUCAAACCUUUAUUUAAUUCCUCUAAAUCAAAACAAAACAAAAACCUCCUUUUCAGAUCCUGUUCAAAUCUAGAGUUACUCUGUUAUUUCCAUUGGCAGAAGUCUCAUCUGAGCAUUGUCAGAGACCCACAAAUACGAGUGACCGUCUGCUGAGCAAUUGCAACACAAGAAUAAUGGAUAAGAAUUGUGUUUUCACUCUCUCACCGAUGGAGGCAGCUAGUCCACACAACUCGUAUUCCCCCUCUGAUGAUGUACUAUUGUGAAACAAAGCACUUAGACUACAUGCACACAUGUUAACAGAAGGGCAAUGUCUAACCCUAGAGAUGAAGAUUUCAACUUGAUAAUGAUUUGUUGACAGUUACUCAUUUCUUAAUCCAGUCAUGAUGAGACAAGGAACUGCAUAAGUCAAAGACCACAUGAAUUAUCAAUGCCUAAACCACCAGCACCUCUCCCCCUGAAAACUGGACAGUGUCCUUCUAGCUGGCCAGGCCACUCCUACAGCAGCUUCUGCAGUCCAUUCGCUCCACAGAGGAAGUGAUGAUCUUACAACAUAAUUAUCUCCUGCUUCAUUCUCCACUUAGGAAGACGAAUCCAAAGGCUUUGCUAAGAACCACAAGUCUCUGCAUUGUUUGAUCCUGUUUCUACCACGUAAGGUUGUUUGAUCCAGCAUUAGAAGAUUGCAUUUUGUGAGAACCAAGCCAACGCCCACUACAGCUGUUGGACCAGCAACGUGCGUCACACCACAGACAGCCUGCCCAGCCACUGCUUUCCGGUUCCUGUUAUUGUCUCAGAAAUGCCAAAAUUUGGAAUUAAAAAAUUGCUCAUAAAA
Onychomys torridus (southern grasshopper mouse) is the source of this 948-nucleotide long non-coding RNA. RefSeq lists it as uncharacterized. The transcript has 4 exons. NCBI's taxonomy places the organism in Eukaryota, Metazoa, Chordata, Mammalia, Rodentia, Cricetidae. The record is from RefSeq and is a predicted model, not a curated record.